This 1365-nucleotide long non-coding RNA is filed under the name Equus caballus (horse). Its description in RNAcentral is "lncRNA (ENSECAG00000040175.3)". Lineage: Eukaryota; Metazoa; Chordata; Mammalia; Perissodactyla; Equidae. The record is from RNAcentral.
GUCAGAAAAAAGAGAUGCAACGAUGGAAGCAGGGAUAGAGAGAUGCUGCCUCCAUGAAGGGAGGGGUCACAAGCCAAGGAAUGAGGGAAGCCUUUAGAAGCUGGAAAAGGCAAGAAAACUCCCCACAGAGCCUCCUGAAAGGAAUGUAACUCCACAAAGACCUUGAUUUUAGCCCCGUGGCACUGAUGUGGGAUUCUGACCUGCAGAAUUAUAGGACGCCUGCCACAGCAUGGCUUGAUAAGCAGUGCAGAGGUCCACACCUGGGAUCCCAACCGGUGAACCCCAAGCCACCAAAGCAGAGCACAAGAACUUAACUGCUAUGCCACCAGGCCAGCUCCUCGUGGUUCUGAUUCAUAUUUCCUUCAUGAUUAUGACAUUGAGCAUACUUUCAUGUACUUUUGCUUAAUUGUAUGUCUUAUUUGGAGAAAGUGUCUAUUUAAUUCCUUUGCCCAUAUUUUCAUUUGUUUUUUGUUUGUUUGUUUGCUAUUGAGUUAUUGGAGUUCCUUAUAUAUUUUGGAAAUUAGCCCUUAUCAGGUAUGUGGUUUAUAAAUAUUUUUUCCCAUUUCAUAGACUUUUAACUCUGCUGAUUCUUUUCUUUGUUGUGUGGAAGAUUUGUAGUUUGAUAUAGUCUUAUUUGUCUACUUUUGCUUUUGUAGCUUUUGCUUUUGGUGUCACAUCCAAGACAUCAUUGCUAAGAUCAAUGUCAUGGAGAUUUUUUCCUAUUUCUUCUUCUAGGCGUUUCAUAGUUUCAGGUCUUAUGUUUAGAUCUUUAACCCAUUGUGAGUUUAUUUUUGUGUUCAGAGUAAGACAAGGAUCCCAAUUUCAUUUGUUUGUAUGUAGAUAUUCAGUUGUCCCAACACCAUUUGUUGAAGAGGCCAUCCUUUCCCCAUCGUGUAUUCUUGUCACCUUUGUUGACCAUCAGUUGGCCAUAUGUGCAUGGGUUUAUUUCUAGGUUCUCUACUUUGUUCCAUUGGUCUUUGUCUGUUUUUAGACCAGUACAAUACUGUUUUAAUUACUGUAGAUUUGUAACAUAUUUUGAAAUCAGGAAAUGUGAUGCCUCCAUCUUUAUUCUUUGUCUGGUUUGCUUUGGCUAUUCAGGGUGUUUUUUGGUUCAAUAUGAAUUUUAGAAUUAUUUUUCUAUUUCUGUAAAAACUGUGUUUGGUAUUUUUGUAGAUAUGCAUUGAAUCUGUAGAUUACUUUGCAGACUAUGGACAUUUUAACAAUGUUGUCUUCCAAUCCAUCUAUUUACUUCUAUCUUCUCUAAUUUUUUUCAUCAAUGUUUUGUAGUUUUCAGUGUAUAUUUUUCACCUCCUUGGUUAAUUUCAUUCCUAAGUAUUUUAAUCUUUUUGGUGCUAUUAUAAAUGG